RNAcentral lists this unclassified non-coding RNA (323 nucleotides) under uncultured fungus. RNAcentral describes it as "sequence contains ITS1". The stretch from base 1 to 105 matches the Rfam family "5.8S ribosomal RNA", at positions 50 to 154 of the family's 154-position model. The record is from RNAcentral. Lineage: Eukaryota; Fungi.
CAAACGCGAAAAAGUGUUAUGACAUGCAGUCUUUGAGAAGGAACGACUCUUUGAACGCACCUUGUACCCUCGGGCGUGCCCAAGGGUGUGCUUGUUUGAGCAUCGCAUAGACGUUGCACGUGCAAUUUGUGCACUGUGCAGAGAUGAGGCGCGCACUUUUACGAGUGCUCCCUUGAAAAGCAUGUGGAGUCGCGGCAAGCGAGCGCGCACACGCCAGGGAUAAUGCUCGUUGGCGGGUGUGCGUGGCGGCAAACCGAUGAUGAUCCACACAAUACUCAUUUGACCACGAUCUCAAAUCAAGCAAGAACACCCGCUGAACUUAA